Chelonia mydas (Green sea turtle) is the source of this 1198-nucleotide long non-coding RNA. RefSeq lists it as uncharacterized. Lineage: Eukaryota; Metazoa; Chordata; Testudines; Cheloniidae. The record is from RefSeq and is a predicted model, not a curated record. The transcript has 4 exons.
ACUCAGAGUAGGAAGGCAAGCUCUUCAGGCAGGGAGGCCUGGGAGAGAUCCUGAUCAAAACAGUGAAGAGACUGGGAGAUCCAGAGAGGAAGUAAAGAGCCAAGAUAGGAAAUGGCCCAGGCAAAAUCAUGAUACAGGUUUGUCUCUCUACAAAUCAUAAAAGAGCCAGAGACUGACCCAUGCAGCAAAACAUUUUUAUUCAAGCACCAAGACUGUGUUUCCAGAAGAAAUGCUGAAAAAACUAUGAUUCCUGAUGAGGAAUAUUUUUUCUAUUGUCAUUCUAGCUGACCAGUUUGAAACUGGGAAGAAACAACCAUCCAAAGUCAUGGAAAUAACUACAUAUAAUGGACCCAGGCUUUUGACUAAAGUAAUGAUAUUCCCUCAAGAAUAAAUCUGAGGUUUAAGACAAGACAAAGUGUAUCCUGAGAUAGAACGCUUAAGAGUUUAUCUGGCCUAUGUAGAUUUCUUCUCUGAUAGGUCAUAUUAAACAAAGCUGCUGGUUCUUUAGCUUAAAACUGCGUUUUCAGAAAGCAUUGGAUUAGAACAGCAUUUCACAAACUUUUUAAACCUGAGCCCCCACAUAAGGAAAAUGAAACUAAUCUUGCCCCCGUGAACCCUACCAUGUACACAAGCUCCAGAGAUAAAGGAGGCCUAAAGAAAUCACUCUAGCUGAGUCCCAGCCAACUCAAAAGUCCUACAGAGGAAACCGAUCUUUCUUCCUGAAAUGAUUUUAUAUAAAACGUUGGUCUCAUACAAGGCUUCAUACAGGCUGUCACUGAGGGAUCCAUCCAGAGUGAGAAAUCCUCUUCUGAGCAUCUAUAACCACUACUUUAGACUCAAGAAAACAGAACUUUCCACUCCUCUGUCCAUGUGAAUAGCAGAGAAAAGGAGGAAAAGCAGACCUGGGCAUACUGAAGAAUAGCGUUGCCAACUUGGGGACACUGGCAAUUGGCAGGAAGAUGUCUUUGGAAGGCCAUAUGUUCAUUUCCAAGGAAUGUAAGAAGAUCAGUUCCUCUUCACUGAGAGUAACUGUAGUAAGACUGGGUGCACUUUACCUCUUCCAGCACGGGGAAUUGGCAACUUCUCUCUACUUUCUUUUUUUAAAUAUUGUAAAAAUUAAAUAAUCUCAGCAGAAAUAAAAUUAGUUGUUAAAAGCAUGAUUAUCUCUGAGUUGUAUGAAGAACCACAAAUAAUAAAA